RNAcentral lists this ribosomal RNA (253 nucleotides) under uncultured bacterium. RNAcentral describes it as "partial 16S ribosomal RNA". It matches the Rfam family "Bacterial small subunit ribosomal RNA", at positions 524 to 776 of the family's 1533-position model. The record is from RNAcentral.
UACGUAGGGGGCAAGCGUUGUCCGGAUUUAUUGGGCGUAAAGAGCGUGUAGGCGGCCAUACAGGUCAGCUGUGAAAACUCGAGGCUCAACCUCGAGACGUCGGUUGAAACCGUAUGGCUAGAGUCCGGAAGAGGAGAGUGGAAUUCCCGGUGUAGCGGUGAAAUGCGCAGAUAUCAGGAGGAACACCGGUGGCGAAGGCGGUUCUCUGGGCAUUACCUGACGCUGAGGAGCGAAAGUGUGGGGAGCGAACAGG